AGAGUUUGAUCCUGGCUCAGAUUGAACGCUGGCGGCAUGCCUUACACAUGCAAGUCGAACGGUAACGCGGGGGCAACCCUGGCGACGAGUGGCGAACGGGUGAGUAAUACAUCGGAACAUAUCCAGUAGCGGGGGAUAACCUAUCGAAAGAUGGACUAAUACCGCAUACGAUCUACGGAUGAAAGCAGGGGACCGCAAGGCCUUGCACUAUUGGAGUGGCCGAUGUCGGAUUAGCUAGUUGGUGAGGUAAAGGCUUACCAAGGCGACGAUCCGUAGCUGGUCUGAGAGGACGAUCAGCCACACUGGAACUGAGACACGGUCCAGACUCCUACGGGAGGCAGCAGUGGGGAAUUUUGGACAAUGGGCGCAAGCCUGAUCCAGCCAUGCCGCGUGAGUGAAGAAGGCCUUCGGGUUGUAAAGCUCUUUCGGUGAAGACGAAACGGUUAUCGCUAAUAACGCUGACUAAUGACGGUACUCACAGAAGAAGCACCGGCUAACUACGUGCCAGCAGCCGCGGUAAUACGUAGGGUGCAGGCGUUAAUCGGAAUUACUGGGCGUAAAGCGUGCGCAGGCGGUUUGCUAAGACAGGUGUGAAAUCCCCGAGCUUAACUUGGGAAUUGCGCUUGUAACUGGCAAGCUAGAGUGUGGCAGAGGGGGGUGGAAUUCCACGUGUAGCAGUGAAAUGCGUAGAUAUGUGGAGGAACACCGAUGGCGAAGGCAGCCCCCUGGGUUAACACUGACGCUCAUGCACGAAAGCGUGGGGAGCAAACAGGAUUAGAUACCCUGUAGUCCACGCCCUAAACUAUGUCAACUAGUUGUCGGGGAAGAAAUUCCUUGGUAACGAAGCUAACGCGUGAAGUUGACCGCCUGGGGAGUACGGCCGCAAGGUUAAAACUCAAAGGAAUUGACGGGGACCCGCACAAGCGGUGGAUUAUGUGGAUUAAUUCGAUGCAACGCGAAAGACCUUACCUACCCUUGACAUGCUAGGAAGCCCGCAGAGAUGUGGGUGUGCCCGAAAGGGAACCUAGACACAGGUGCUGCAUGGCUGUCGUCAGCUCGUGUCGUGAGAUGUUGGGUUAAGUCCCGCAACGAGCGCAACCCUUGCCAUUAGUUGCUACAUUCAGUUGGGCACUCUAAUGGGACCGCCGGUGACAAACCGGAGGAAGGUGGGGAUGACGUCAAGUCCUCAUGGCCCUUAUGGGUAGGGCUUCACACGUAUACAAUGGUCGGUACAGAGGGCUGCCAACCCGCAAGGGGGAGCUAAUCCCAGAAAGCCGAUCGUAGUCCGGAUUGUAGUCUGCAACUCGACUGCAUGAAGCCGGAAUCGCUAGUAAUCGCGGAUCAGCAUGUCGCGGUGAAUACGUUCCCGGGUCUUGUACACACCGCCCGUCACACCAUGGGAGUGGGUUCCACCAGAAGUAGUUAGCCUAACCGCAAGGAGGGCGAUUACCACGGUGAGAUUCAUGACUGGGGUGAAGUCGUAACAAGGUA
Molecule: ribosomal RNA, 1491 nt
Filed under: metagenome
Description: bacterial SSU rRNA
Rfam family: Bacterial small subunit ribosomal RNA
Source: RNAcentral